UACGGAGGGUGCAAGUGUUAUUCGGAAUCACUGGGCGUAAAGAGCACGUAGGCGGAUGGGUAAGUCAGAUGUGAAAUCCCGGGGCUCAACUUCGGAACUGCAUUUGAUACUGCCCGUCUUGAGUGUGGUAGAGGGGGAUGGAAUUCCCGGUGUAGAGGUGAAAUUCGUAGAUAUCGGGAGGAACACCAGAGGCGAAGGCGAUCCCCUGGGCCAUUACUGACGCUGAGGUGCGAAAGCGUGGGGAGCAAACGGG
Molecule: ribosomal RNA, 253 nt
Filed under: uncultured bacterium
Lineage: Bacteria
Description: partial 16S ribosomal RNA
Rfam family: Bacterial small subunit ribosomal RNA
Source: RNAcentral